UGGGGAAUAUUGCACAAUGGGCGGAAGCCUGAUGCAGCGACGCCGCGUGGGGGAUGAAGGCCUUCGGGUUGUAAACUCCUUUCGACAGGGACGAAGCGUAAGUGACGGUACCUGUAUAAGAAGCACCGGCUAACUACGUGCCAGCAGCCGCGGUAAUACGUAGGGUGCGAGCGUUGUCCGGAAUUACUGGGCGUAAAGAGCUCGUAGGUGGUUUGUCGCGUCGUCCGUGAAAUUCCGGGGCUUAACUCCGGGCGUGCAGGCGAUACGGGCUGACUUGAGUGCUGUAGGGGAGACUGGAAUUCCUGGUGUAGCGGUGAAAUGCGCAGAUAUCAGGAGGAACACCGAUGGCGAAGGCAGGUCUCUGGGCAGUAACUGACGCUGAGGAGCGAAAGCAUGGGUAGCGAACAGGAUUAGAUACCCUGGUAGUCCAUGCCGUAAACGGUGGGCGCUAGGUGUAGGGGGCUUCCACGUCUUCUGUGCCGUAGCUAACGCAUUAAGCGCCCCGCCUGGGGAGUACGGCCGCAAGGCUA
This 530-nucleotide ribosomal RNA is filed under the name uncultured bacterium. Its description in RNAcentral is "bacterial SSU rRNA". It matches the Rfam family "Bacterial small subunit ribosomal RNA", at positions 355 to 896 of the family's 1533-position model. The record is from RNAcentral.